Molecule: ribosomal RNA, 974 nt
Filed under: Thalassiosira minuscula
Lineage: Eukaryota; Bacillariophyta; Thalassiosirophyceae; Thalassiosirales; Thalassiosiraceae
Description: partial Bacterial large subunit ribosomal RNA
Rfam family: Bacterial large subunit ribosomal RNA
Source: RNAcentral
UUUGGGCUAGGGGGUCAUCCCGACUUACCAAACCCAUGCAAACUCCGAAUACCGAGAAGUGCAAUUACGGGAGACACACGGCGGGUGAUAACGUCCGUCGUGGAAAGGGAAACAACCCAGACCAUCAGCUAAGGUCCCAAAAUUAUGGCUCAGUGGAAAACGAUGUGGGAAGGCCCAGACAGCUAGGAGGUUGGCUUAGAAGCAGCCAUCCUUUAAAGAAAGCGUAAUAGCUCACUAGUCGAGUCGGCCUGCGCGGAAGAUGUACCGGGGCUUAAGCCAUAUACCGAAGCUAUGGAUGCGUGUUUACACGCAUGGUAGAGGAGCGUUGUGUAAGUCUGUGAAGGUGUCCUGAGAGGGAUGCUGGAGAUAUCACAAGUGCGAAUGCUGACAUGAGUAACGAUAAAGGGGGUGAGAGGCCCCCUCGCCGAAAAUCCAAGGUUUCCUGCUCAACGUUAAUCGGAGCAGGGUGAGUCGGCCCCUAAGGCGAGGACGAAAGUCGUAGUCGAUGGGAAGCAGGUUAAUAUUCCUGCACGACUUGUAAUUGCGAUGGGGGGACGGAGAAGGCUAGGUGGGCCAGGCGACGGUUGUCCUGGUGAAAGUGCGUAGGUGGUGUUUCUAGGCAAAUCCGGAGACACAACACUGAGACACGAGACGAACGCACCACGGUGCGGAAGCCAUUGAUGCCCUGCUUCCAGGAAAAGCCUCUAAGCUUCAGAUUACAAGUCAUCGUACCCCAAACCGACACAGGUGGUCGGGUAGAGAAUACUAAGGCGCUUGAGAGAACUCGGGUGAAGGAACUAGGCAAAAUGGCACCGUAACUUCGGGAGAAGGUGCGCCGGUGAGGGUGAAGCACUUGCUGCGUAAGCCCACGCCGGUCGAAGAUACCAGGCCGCUGCGACUGUUUAUUAAAAACACAGCACUCUGCAAACUCGAAAGAGGACGUAUAGGGUGUGACGCCUGCCCGGUGCUGGAAG